GAACUGCUAAUUCUUACCCCUGAAGUUAAAUUCCUCAGACCCCUCACUUUUAAAGGAUAAAAGACAAUC
RNAcentral lists this transfer RNA (69 nucleotides) under Ctenosaura palearis. RNAcentral describes it as "tRNA-Ser". RNAcentral also lists the same sequence under 1 other name. Lineage: Eukaryota; Metazoa; Chordata; Lepidosauria; Squamata; Iguanidae. The record is from RNAcentral.